Molecule: ribosomal RNA, 528 nt
Filed under: uncultured bacterium
Lineage: Bacteria
Description: partial 16S ribosomal RNA
Rfam family: Bacterial small subunit ribosomal RNA
Source: RNAcentral
UGGGGAAUUUUGGACAAUGGGCGCAAGCCUGAUCCAGCCAUGCCGCGUGCGGGAAGAAGGCCUUCGUGUUGUAAACCGCUUUUGUCAGGGAAGGAAUCUUCUGAGUUAAUACCUCGGGAGGAUGACGGUACCUGAAGAAUAAGCACCGGCUAACUACGUGCCAGCAGCCGCGGUAAUACGUAGGGUGCAAGCGUUAAUCGGAAUUACUGGGCGUAAAGCGUGCGCAGGCGGUUUUGUAAGACAGAGGUGAAAUCCCCGGGCUCAACCUGGGAACUGCCUUUGUGACUGCAAGGCUUGAGUGCGGCAGAGGGGGGAUGGAAUUCCGCGUGUAGCAGUGAAAUGCGUAGAUAUGCGGAGGAACACCGAUGGCGAAGGCAAUCCCCUGGGCCUGCACUGACGCUCAUGCACGAAAGCGUGGGGAGCAAACAGGAUUAGAUACCCUGGUAGUCCACGCCCUAAAACGAUGUCAACUGGUUGUUGGGAAGGUUCCUUCUCAGUAACGUAGCUAACGCNUGAAGUUGACCGCCU